Molecule: non-coding RNA, 264 nt
Organism: Vicia faba (fava bean)
Lineage: Eukaryota; Viridiplantae; Streptophyta; Magnoliopsida; Fabales; Fabaceae
Source: the annotation of a GenBank genome assembly
AUGGAUCAUCAAUUUUUAUUUUCAACAGAUAUGGAUAGAUUUAAGACUACCAGAUCCACCACUGAGAGGAAAGUUGUCAUUACCGCCUUUGUAAUAAGUAAUCAACCGCCUCUUCCUCCACAACAAAAUUUUGCUGAUCAUAUAGCGUUAAUUCCUUCACAUCCAGAACAAGUUCAUAUUUCACAAGUGGCAAGGCCAACUUCAACCGAUUUGGUAGAGACUCUGGUUUUGAUUCUAACUACACAACCGAAAAACCUUACCUAG